RNAcentral lists this non-coding RNA (21 nucleotides) under Caenorhabditis elegans. The record is from RNAcentral. Lineage: Eukaryota; Metazoa; Nematoda; Chromadorea; Rhabditida; Rhabditidae.
UGGGACCGUCUCUUCAUUUUC